GCAGUCACACUAAUAAAGCUACAAAGAGGAAGAAGACGAUUAAGGAGAAAAUUAUAAGUUUCACCAGCUAUCUGCAAAGAAUUACCGCACAGCCUAAGAACGCACAUUGUGCGCGCACCCGCAGUUAACAGUGUUAAACACUUUCAAUAAUGGCCGACGAUAAAAGCUACGACUCCAGCAACAACAGCGAGACCGAGGAGCGUCGGGCCAAGCACAAGAAGGCUAAAAAGCACAAGAAACACAAAAAAUCUUCGACUGGCAAGUCCGAGAAGGACAGGCAUAUCCACAAAAAGCAGAAGAAGGCAAAAAAGCGCCCCCACCGCACAAGCGAGUCCUCAAACGACUCGGACGCCCCGGAAAACGCAAAGCCAAAGCUAUCGCAAAAUUGCGGUCUGAGUAGCAAGUUCACAGAAAUCAUGCAGAAGGCGAGCCGCAACGGAGCCGACUUCCGUGUCGGCAAACCCCUGCUGCCGACGGAUCCGAGCAGUCUUGUUGAAGAAAUCACCAAAACUAUUCAGAAUAAGAUGCUGCCCGUCCUGGAGGUGGCCAGUUCUGGCAGCGAAAGCGAUGUCCCCGCCGAUGCGGCGACUCCUAUCAUUACUUCUAUUAUUGAAGACGAGCUUAACUUGGAGGACUUGAUGCGACAGAAAGCCCUGCUGCAGGCUCGCCUGGGCGCUUACAUGUCGGACCCCGAGGCCGAGGAUAAGGGCGAUCUCCCAUACACACAGUCGCAGCAGCUUGUUGCUCACACCAAAUCAGUGCUCAAAGCUGACACAUCCGCAUCGCAGCCCCAACCCAGCAAGUCUGCAGCGCCGUUGGCUACUGCAACCAGUAAACAUGCUAAUAUUAAAAAGUCUACCACGCAUAACUCAAAUGAAUCCGAUGUUAUAUUGUUGGAUGAUUCUAGCGGAGGCCAGCGAACCCCCUCGCCCACGCCCGAGAAGCGAAGGCGCCACGCAUCCCCGCUCCCAGCAGCUCCGAGAAGUCGUGGCCGUAGGGAUCGUCGUUCGAGGGAUCGCGACCGUUCACCCCCACGUCGCCGAGCAUCAGAUCAGCAGGCGCAGGUUCGACCGCGAAGCCGCAACCGCAACAUGGAGGACCUACGACAGGAAAUAAACCGAGACAAGCAAAGGGAAAGACGGGACCAUAGCCGGGACCGGGAUCGGCGAGGAUUGGAUAGGCCGCCGCCACCCACUGAUCUGAGACCAGGUCGUGCACGGGAGCGAGACGUUCGGCCGGGUCGCAAUCAGCGGUCGCACAGCCGCAGUAAGUUUGAGUCAGACAGGCGACGAGAGCGGGAGCGGCAAAAGGACCGGGAUCGUGGUGGCUUUGAUCGUGGUAGCGGACGCGGAGGAGCCCGCAGUGGGACUGACAACGGGGACAGAGAUCGGUACAAGGGUUCGCUGAGCGAGGGGCAAAAUAAGCUCGAGAAGGAGAGCAGUGACGAGGAGGUGAAUGUGGACAUUGCCAUUUUCGAUGAAGAUGAUGACGAAGAACGUAUCAUUGAGUUACGUAGAAAGAAGCGCGAGGAGCUACUCAAGAAACUGGGCACUGGACAGGAAUCUCCAGCUCCUCAUAACUCAGUCUCGUACGAGUCCCGGAGUACUUCACAAGAGUCAUCCCAACGCGAGAGGCCUUUAAGAACGCCGACGCCAACCCUGCCUUGCUCGAAUUCACUUAGCUCAGAAAUGCAAAAAGAAGAUAUGGAUAACUCGAAUAGCCAAAAAAAUUGCUCCGUCAAGGAAAAACGAAACGAGUGGGAUAUGUUUGCCGACCAAGAUGUGGAUUCCAAUUUCGAUUCACCCAACACAAUCGUCCAAAAUAAGCACCAACACGAAAAUCCCGCCCUCACAGACAACUGGGACGAUGCAGAGGGUUAUUACCGAGUUCGUAUCGGGGAAGUUUUGGACAAUCGCUACCUAGUGAAUGGAUACACAGGCCAGGGUGUCUUCAGCAACGUAGUGCGUGGCAGAGACCAAGCUCGGGGACAAGCUAAUGUUGCCAUUAAGAUCAUACGGAACAACGAAAUAAUGCACAAAACUGGCUUGCGGGAACUAGAAAUAUUGAAAAAGCUGAACGACGCCGAUCCAGAGGAUCGUUUCCACUGCCUGCGAUUGUAUCGUCACUUCUUUCACAAGCAGCAUCUUUGUAUGGUGUUUGAGCCAUUAGCAAUGAAUCUGCGGGAAGUACUUAAAAAGUAUGGCAAGAAUGUGGGACUCCACAUCAAAGCAGUGCGUAGCUACACGCAGCAACUAUUCUUGGCUCUCAAAUUGUUAAAAAAGACGGGCAUCUUGCAUGCGGACAUUAAGCCGGACAACAUCUUGGUAAACGAAAAUAAUCUGAUACUUAAGUUGUGUGAUUUUGGUUCUGCAUCGGCAAUCAGCGACAACGAAAUAACACCGUAUCUGGUAUCGCGGUUCUACCGCUCACCAGAGAUCAUUUUGGGAAUUCCGUAUGACUACGGAAUCGACACUUGGUCUGCCGGCUGCACAAUUUAUGAGUUAUACACAGGAAAGAUUUUGUUCAGCGGGAAGAGUAAUAAUCAGAUGCUAAAGUUUUUCAUGGACGUUAAAGGCAAGAUACCAAACCGAAUUAUCAGAAAAGGUCAGUUUAGAGAGCAGCAUUUUGACCAGAGCUGCAACUUUCUGUAUCAUGAAAUAGAUAAGCUCACCGAGAGGGAAAAAAUUGUUGUAAUGCCAGUAGUCAAACCUUCGCGUAGCCUGCAGCAGGAACUAAUUGCUGACCAAAACUUGCCAGACGAUCAACACCGCAAGGUCACCCAGCUCAAAGACCUUCUGGAGAACAUGUUUGCCUUGGACCCGGCUAAACGGAUAUCUCUUAACCAGGCACUAGUUCAUCCAUUCAUACAGGAGAAGAUGUAAAUCGACCGGCGAAAACAAUGAAACUGUGCCGCUUGGACGAGCUUUCCUUGGCCUUGUGGCUGGCUGAACUGUUUGGGCUUUCAACAUUUUUUUAUCUACGCCUUCCAAUUUCAACUGCGUGCUGUAAUCCGUGAGUAUAUUACUUAUAACAUUCCUAUAGCUAAUUGAUCGACUACAAUUCUGUCCAAGUAAGUAAGGUACCUAACUUUUAAA
Molecule: unclassified non-coding RNA, 3095 nt
Filed under: Drosophila yakuba
Lineage: Eukaryota; Metazoa; Arthropoda; Insecta; Diptera; Drosophilidae
Description: GE21040
Source: RNAcentral